Molecule: non-coding RNA, 108 nt
Filed under: unidentified
Description: Delta proteobacterium TPP sequence
Rfam family: TPP riboswitch aptamer (THI element)
About the family: Vitamin B(1) in its active form thiamin pyrophosphate (TPP) is an essential coenzyme that is synthesised by coupling of pyrimidine and thiazole moieties in bacteria. The previously detected thiamin-regulatory element, thi box was extended, resulting in a new, highly conserved RNA secondary structure, the THI element, which is widely distributed in eubacteria and also occurs in some archaea.
Source: RNAcentral
CUUUACAAACGGGGAGCUGGUGUUACCGGCUGAGAGGAAGUUUAGUGAAACUUCGACCCCUGACCUGAUUUGGAUAAUGCCAACGGAGGGAGAUCAUUAAAUUUGAAA